UGCGACUUCCAGAUCCCAGCUUCCCGGCGCUGACUCAGCCCACCGUGCGUCCCAGGGGCGGGGAUUCGGAUUGACUGCUAGUGUCCCCCUCCCCUACUGUGCGGCUGUGCUGGCCCCGCCUCUCGGCUGCUCUGUAAGUUUAAAGAUGGGGAAACUGAGACUCAGAGUGAUGAGUAACUUGUCCAAGGCUACACAGAGGAGCUAAGAGUGAAGCCCCAGCUUGGACCAAUGGUCAUAUAUGAAAGAAACUAAACAGAGGUCUCCUCAAAUUUGGCCACAGUCCUAAAAAUGUACAUUAUUGUAAAGCUGAAGUGUUUCUAAACUAUCAAUAGUAAAAAAAUAAAUUUCCAUCAACCAU
Manis pentadactyla (Chinese pangolin) is the source of this 358-nucleotide long non-coding RNA. RefSeq lists it as uncharacterized. NCBI's taxonomy places the organism in Eukaryota, Metazoa, Chordata, Mammalia, Pholidota, Manidae. The transcript is spliced from 3 exons. The record is from RefSeq and is a predicted model, not a curated record.